Molecule: long non-coding RNA, 1057 nt
Organism: Lethenteron reissneri (Far Eastern brook lamprey)
Lineage: Eukaryota; Metazoa; Chordata; Hyperoartia; Petromyzontiformes; Petromyzontidae
Source: RefSeq, a predicted model, not a curated record
CAACUCCCCGCCCGUGUGGGCCCGUGCAGUUGUACCGCCUGCACACGCGGCAGGAGACGUGGCCACUGGUGGUGUGCCGCGUGCUCGUAGUUUUAGUGGACUGUAUCGUCCUUGCCCGCACAGGAAAUCAAAGUGGAGCCUGGGACGCGUCACGCAGCCGCCCCUACCUGCUGCCGGUGUGCGGACACGCGUCUCGUGUGGAGCAUGCCUGCAGGACAAAGGCACGCGCACGCGCGGGCUGCGAGUUUGUGUGCCCGACCUGCAAGGUCCCCGGCCUCCUACCUGCAGCCCGACGAAGCGCUUGGAAAUUUCCUACCCACGCUGAAGGAAAUGCUGGAGGAGCGAUUUGGUGGGAAGCCUCGGCCGCUCUACCCCGAGCGGUCGCUCGCGCAGGGCGGCCGCGGCGCUGGCGUCUGGCACCGAUCUUGUCGAGGGCUCUGUACAGCACAAACCACUGCACCUGGGCCACGGCCCGAAUCCAAAGCCUCCGUUCUGACGGUCAGAUUCAGGUCUGUUCCCGUAGUCGAGUUCACGUUUAAAUUUAUGCUGGGCAAUGAGUUGAUUGAAACCUAGAGAUGUAAAAUAGCAGACAGGUCACUUCUGUCACCAGGCCGUUUAGCUGCGUUCCAACCAAGGCUUUUUCUAUUUCCACACCUCCGAUUAGCACAGUUGGCUAUGUACGGUGCGAAAGAAGUUCAACAUAAAUAUUCAUAAGUUUGUUUACCCCAAAAAGACCUCAAGCUUUCACGACCAUUAUCCAUAAUCGAGGUUUUUGGGUUAGACGACGUAAAUAUGAAUGUGUCGUUCAACCCGCCACCGCCAACACAGCCAAUUACUGUAGUGAGGUUUGUCACGUAAUCAAAACGUGCUAAUUCGUUACUAGUUCAGCACACUGGUGUGUUCGAGAGUAAACCCCCAACAUUUACAAUUCAAUACUCUUUGGUUCUUUUGGUAAAGUCACGUAGGUAUAAAAUAAAAUUUACAAUUCGAGUACGACGUUUUGUCAGUAAUUCCAACUCACAUCAACAGGCGAUAGCCAGGGUUGUUAAGAGCGAAG